AGAGUUUGAUCCUGGCUCAGGAUGAACGCUGGCGGCGUGCCUAAUACAUGCAAGUCGGGCGAACGGACGAGAAGCUUGCUUCUCUGAUGUUAGCGGCGGACGGGUGAGUAACACGUGGAUAACCUACCUAUAAGACUGGGAUAACUUCGGGAAACCGGAGCUAAUACCGGAUAAUAUUUUGAACCGCAUGGUUUAAAAGUGAAAGACGGUCUUGCUGUCACUUAUAGAUGGAUCCGCGCUGCAUUAGCUAGUUGGUAAGGUAACGGCUUACCAAGGCAACGAUGCAUAGCCGACCUGAGAGGGUGAUCGGCCACACUGGAACUGAGACACGGUCCAGACUCCUACGGGAGGCAGCAGUAGGGAAUCUUCCGCAAUGGGCGAAAGCCUGACGGAGCAACGCCGCGUGAGUGAUGAAGGUCUUCGGAUCGUAAAACUCUGUUAUUAGGGAAGAACAUAUGUGUAAGUAACUGUGCACAUCUUGACGGUACCUAAUCAGAAAGCCACGGCUAACUACGUGCCAGCAGCCGCGGUAAUACGUAGGUGGCAAGCGUUAUCCGGAAUUAUUGGGCGUAAAGCGCGCGUAGGCGGUUUUUUAAGUCUGAUGUGAAAGCCCACGGCUCAACCGUGGAGGGUCAUUGGAAACUGGAAAACUUGAGUGCAGAAGAGGAAAGUGGAAUUCCAUGUGUAGCGGUGAAAUGCGCAGAGAUAUGGAGGAACACCAGUGGCGAAGGCGACUUUCUGGUCUGUAACUGACGCUGAUGUGCGAAAGGCGUGGGGAUCAAACAGGAUUAGAUACCCUGGUAGUCCAUGCCGUAAACGAUGAGUGCUAAGUGUUAGGGGGUUUCCGCCCCUUAGUGCUGCAGCUAACGCAUUAAGCACUCCGCCUGGGGAGUACGACCGCAAGGUUGAAACUCAAAGGAAUUGACGGGGACCCGCACAAGCGGUGGAGCAUGUGGUUUAAUUCGAAGCAACGCGAAGAACCUUACCAAAUCUUGACAUCCUUUGACAACUCUAGAGAUAGAGCUUUCCCCUUCGGGGGACAAAGUGACAGGUGGUGCAUGGUUGUCGUCAGCUCGUGUCGUGAGAUGUUGGGUUAAGUCCCGCAACGAGCGCAACCCUUAAGCUUAGUUGCCAUCAUUAAGUUGGGCACUCUAAGUUGACUGCCGGUGACAAACCGGAGGAAGGUGGGGAUGACGUCAAAUCAUCAUGCCCCUUAUGAUUUGGGCUACACACGUGCUACAAUGGACAAUACAAAGGGCAGCGAAACCGCGAGGUCAAGCAAAUCCCAUAAAGUUGUUCUCAGUUCGGAUUGUAGUCUGCAACUCGACUACAUGAAGCUGGAAUCGCUAGUAAUCGUAGAUCAGCAUGCUACGGUGAAUACGUUCCCGGGUCUUGUACACACCGCCCGUCACACCACGAG
RNAcentral lists this ribosomal RNA (1420 nucleotides) under uncultured bacterium. RNAcentral's name for it is "bacterial SSU rRNA". It matches the Rfam family "Bacterial small subunit ribosomal RNA". The record is from RNAcentral.